CCCCAUCAGCAGCAUCUUCCGGGUGGAGGUUGUGGGGGAAGCUGGGACUUUGCGCAGCCGCUCUCACGGCUUGCGUGCCAAGCAGAUAAAGGUUCUGGGUUCGUCUUCCUAGAUGAUGUUGAAAUGUGGAGGAAUUGCGUUAACGAAUGCAUGCCUGCACACGUGGAAAUAAACCGCGUAAAGAAAGAAUUGUUAAGCUUUGUUUCUUUAAAAUCUACACUCAAACUGUUCCCAUGGAAGCAACACAGGAAAAUUAGUAUGUUUUCAACCACUACCAGGGGGUAAAUUUUAAUUCACGACUCCGUUAGUGCGAAAUUCAAUCUGUUGCCUACCCCAAAGAAACACGUUGUGCCCCAAUGAUAAACAUUUUAUUUAAAAUGCUAUUUUAAACUUUAGUACUAAUGUUAAAUAAUGGUUUGCACAGCGACCGCUCAAGUUUUCACAUUGUAGUGUGCCAGUUUGACAAUUCAAAAUCUGAGGAAUUUAUGAUAGAAAGCUUUAUGAUCGAACAGUUUAUAAAUAAAUGUUUUACCAGUUCUCUCUUGACAACUUGAUGUUUACUUGCAGUAAUGUAUAUCUUUCAAAGUUGGUGCUAUCUGGUAGAAGCAAAGGAAUAAAAUCACUUGAACAGUU
This is a long non-coding RNA of Chiloscyllium plagiosum (whitespotted bambooshark), 633 nucleotides long. RefSeq lists it as uncharacterized. NCBI's taxonomy places the organism in Eukaryota, Metazoa, Chordata, Chondrichthyes, Orectolobiformes, Hemiscylliidae. The record is from RefSeq and is a predicted model, not a curated record.